Molecule: ribosomal RNA, 466 nt
Filed under: uncultured bacterium
Lineage: Bacteria
Description: bacterial SSU rRNA
Rfam family: Bacterial small subunit ribosomal RNA
Source: RNAcentral
UAGAGUUUGAUCAUGGCUCAGAACGAACGCUGGCGGCGUGCUUAACACAUGCAAGUCGAGCGCGAAAGUCCCCUUCGGGGGGCGAGUAGAGCGGCAGACGGGUGAGUAACACGUGGGCAACCUGCCCCUGGGUGAGGGAUAACCACUCGAAAGGGUGGCUAAUACCGCAUAAGACCACGGCUUUUCGGGGCUGGGGUCAAAGGCUUCGGCCGCCUGGGGAGGGGCCCGCGGCCGAUUAGCUAGUUGGUGAGGUAACGGCUCACCAAGGCGACGAUCGGUAGCUGGUCUGAGAGGAUGAUCAGCCACACUGGUACUGAGACACGGACCAGACUCCUACGGGAGGCAGCAGUGGGGAAUAUUGCGCAAUGGGCGAAAGCCUGACGCAGCAACGCCGCGUGGGUGAUGAAGGCCUUCGGGUCGUAAAGCCCCUGUCAGGUGGGAAGAACCCCCUCGCAAGAGGGCUGAC